Molecule: long non-coding RNA, 730 nt
Organism: Microplitis mediator
Lineage: Eukaryota; Metazoa; Arthropoda; Insecta; Hymenoptera; Braconidae
Exons: 3
Source: RefSeq, a predicted model, not a curated record
GGAGAAUUUUAUUUAACACCGGUAAAGAAUAUUUACACCGGCGGUGGCGUCAUUUUCACACCGCUUUCGGUGUUGAAAUUUAACACCGCAAAUUUUAAGACCUACACCGCUUGGACUUACCCCGGUCAUUUUUUACAAUGUAAUUAAAUGCUAUCGCCUAGUAAUUAUCUAUAAUUGCUUUUUAGAUACCACUUGUAAAUAUAAGUUUUUAAGUAAAUAAAUACACUGUAUUUUAAGCCUUGGAAUAUAACUUUAAUAUUUUGACCGAAGGCAACUUCUGAACUCAACAAAACAUACCAACUUAUUGUUAAAAAAAUGAAUUCUAUAACUAUGUCCAAGUUAACUGUUGUUGUAUUUUUGGUUACAUUGUUGGCGAUUGGCUCGUUUGCGUGCAUUGAACAUGGGAAAGAAUGUACUAUGGAUGGUGAACAAUGUUGUUCUCCCUAUUUUUGCAGAAAAAAUAAAAAUUUUCAAUAUUUGUCAUGCGGCAUGACCGCGGAUUCUUUUCCCGGUAUAAUGGAUGGAAGCUCUUUCUUGUCUGUCAUAGCUCCAAACUCCGAUUGAAACCGCUGAAUUCCGAUUGGUUCCGAUUGAAAUCCGAUAGACUUUCAAUCGAAGUUUUUAAUCAGGGUGGCUGAGUCUACUUUUUUAUUUCAGAAAUAAUAAUAAUAAUUAUUAAUACUGUAAUGAUCAUUAUCAUUAUCUGAAUAAAAAUAAUUUCCAUCAUAAA